Molecule: transfer RNA, 73 nt
Filed under: Stegodyphus mimosarum
Lineage: Eukaryota; Metazoa; Arthropoda; Arachnida; Araneae; Eresidae
Rfam family: tRNA
About the family: Transfer RNA (tRNA) molecules are approximately 80 nucleotides in length.
Source: Rfam by way of RNAcentral
GCCUUCGUGGUGUAACGGUUAGCACACUCGGCAUGUAGUCGAGAGGUCCAGGGUUCGAAUCCCGGGGACGGCA